This 163-nucleotide ribosomal RNA is filed under the name Bupleurum commelynoideum. RNAcentral describes it as "5.8S ribosomal RNA". It matches the Rfam family "5.8S ribosomal RNA". Rfam says of the family: 5.8S ribosomal RNA (5.8S rRNA) is a component of the large subunit of the eukaryotic ribosome. It is transcribed by RNA polymerase I as part of the 45S precursor that also contains 18S and 28S rRNA. Lineage: Eukaryota; Viridiplantae; Streptophyta; Magnoliopsida; Apiales; Apiaceae. The record is from RNAcentral.
AAUCGACUCUCGGCAACGGAUAUCCCGGCUCUCGCAUCGAUGAAGAACGUAGCGAAAUGCGAUACUUGGUGUGAAUUGCAGAAUCCCGUGAACCAUCGAGUUUUUGAACGCAAGUUGCGCCCGAUGCCAUUAGGCUGAGGGCACGUCUGCCUGGGUGUCACGU